Molecule: long non-coding RNA, 719 nt
Filed under: Homo sapiens (human)
Lineage: Eukaryota; Metazoa; Chordata; Mammalia; Primates; Hominidae
Description: HSALNT0284074
Source: RNAcentral
AGUUUGCCUUCACAUGGGAAGGGUGACAAUGAACUUUCACAAUGCUGCCGCAGGGCUACAUGCAUAGCCCCACCAUAUGUCAUGGUCUUGCUGCCACAGAUUUAGCUGCUUGGAAAUGUCCAAAGGAGGUCCACCUAUUCCAUUAUAUUGAUGACAUUAUGUUAACCUCUAAUUCUCUUGCAGAUUUAGAGGUGACUGCACCCCUCUUACGACAACAUUUGGCAACAUGUGAUGGGCUGUCAAUGAAUCCAAGGUCCAAAGGCCUGGAUUGUCUGCCAAAUUCUUGGGAGUUAACUGGUCAGAUGCCAAGAACCUGGACAUCCUACACUGCUAACAUAUUUUGGUGAGCUAGCCAGGAGAAAGAGCAACGUGUUUGUAUACAGUCAAGCAGGGUUGCCAGGGCCACUCAAGGAGAGAGAACCCAGAAACCUGGCAUGCCUGCAAAAGGGUAAAGAAACUUUUUUAUGCUUUAAAUCUUCUGGAAACAUGAGAGAAAGACUGCCUUUGUCAUCCACACUACAAUAAAACUUCAAAAACCUUGGGCUUUGGAUUCAUGGUCUCACAAAUGAGAAGUAUCCCUCCACACUUUUGGAACUGUGCACCCAUUGGAAACCUUGAGAUAAAGCUAACCAGGGAAAUUUCUCCCAAGAAGAAAAUGGCACCUUUGAUGUGAAUAACUUUUCCUAAGUUCACAGAUGAUUAAAACUUUUACUAUCAAA